RNAcentral lists this ribosomal RNA (459 nucleotides) under uncultured bacterium. Its description in RNAcentral is "partial 16S ribosomal RNA". It matches the Rfam family "Bacterial small subunit ribosomal RNA", at positions 338 to 795 of the family's 1533-position model. The record is from RNAcentral.
CCUACGGGCGGCAGCAGUGAGGAAUAUUGGUCAAUGGACGCAAGUCUGAACCAGCCAUGCCGCGUGCAGGAAGAAGGUGCUAUGCAUUGUAAACUGCUUUUAUACGGGGGUAAUUACAGAUACGUGUAUCUGGAUGAAAGUACCGUAUGAAUAAGGAUCGGCUAACUCCGUGCCAGCAGCCGCGGUAAUACGGAGGAUCCGAGCGUUAUCCGGAUUUAUUGGGUUUAAAGGGUGCGUAGGCGGGCCUUCAGGCCGGCGGUAAAAUUGCGGGGCUCAACCCCGCCGAGCCGUCGGAACCGGGGGCCUUGAGUACCGGAGAAGUACGCGGAAUGCGUGGUGUAGCGGUGAAAUGCAUAGAUAUCACGCAGAACCCCGAUUGCGAAGGCAGCGUACCGGCCGGUCACUGACGCUGAGGCACGAAAGCGCGGGUAUCGAACAGGAUUAGAUACCCUUGUAGUC